Molecule: long non-coding RNA, 857 nt
Organism: Sander lucioperca (pikeperch)
Lineage: Eukaryota; Metazoa; Chordata; Actinopteri; Perciformes; Percidae
Exons: 2
Source: RefSeq, a predicted model, not a curated record
UGUUUAAAAUGCAGUUUGAAUGGUAAAGUUGAGCCACCGUGGAGAUAUCAAUGUCUAAAGUCAGUUAAAGGUGCAGUAAGUGAUGCUCCGCAAAGAUUGUUGGUAUUUGAACUCACCUGCUAAACAAAGACGACGCUCGGCGUCUGAGCGACUUGGCCGAGUCUCUCCUCCCCCAGCUGGAGCCGAUCAUGUGUACAUGUGUACUAUACUGAGUGAUGACAUACUGUAAUCUACGUACCGUGCUGUUAGCCUCUACUGUUAUUCGGUUUGCUUUUUCUAACCGUUGAAGCUCGGCGUGGCGAGCGCUGCCCUCCCUGCUUGUAAAUGAGACGUCUUGAUUCGUUGAACUGCCUUCACGUUUUUUCUUUCUCCAUCUGGCGUCGUUUUUUUUUUUUUCUUUUUUUAUCAAAGCGUGCCUACUUGCCGUCCCACAGAGGGAUCCUGCUGCUGUACAGAACAUCCCAGAAUCCCCUGCAGCACCCGGCAGAGGAGCGCAUGUGCGUGUUGGUGUGUGUGUGUGUGUGUGUGUGUGUGUGUGUGUGUGUGAGUGGUGUGUGUGUGCUGCGUGCGUGCGUGCUGCGUGUGCUGCCCACAGAUUCUGGAGUGCGAUGUCCAGAUGGUUCCUAACUAUUCUCGUUGUCCCGAGCGAUGAUGACUAGAUUAUUUUAAUUUUAAGUUCGUGAUGAUUGCUGAUUAAAGAUCUUUUUGUAAACAAUGUUUUGUGUCUGACUCCUGGUCAUCUGAUUUCAUUUCUCCCUCCUGUCCACUUUUCUUUUCUUAUUCGGUUUGUUCUUGUUGUUCUGUACAGAUGAAAAUUGGACAAUUUGUUAAUAAUAAUAAAGUCUGCAAGGUUUCUA